Molecule: ribosomal RNA, 315 nt
Filed under: Triticum aestivum (bread wheat)
Lineage: Eukaryota; Viridiplantae; Streptophyta; Magnoliopsida; Poales; Poaceae
Description: partial small subunit ribosomal RNA
Source: RNAcentral
AUUGCAGGGUCUAGAUCGAGUGUUCAUGGAGAAAACCAUGGGGAAGAAGAUGCCCCGGUCGCACGUGUCAAGCUGCAGCGACUCGAGAACAACUUACCCCAAGCCAUGGAAAGGAUGCUUCACGAGCGUCCUCUAGUAGGUGGUGAUAGGGUUCGACACCGACAACACCCUAUUGAUCCACUUGAGGAAGUUGGCGAUGAGAAUUCUGUGCAUACUGCUGUUGACGGUGACUUGGAGGAUGAUAACAACAGCCAUGGUGGACAUGUGGUUGCUGCUCGUGGGCGUGGUGCUGCUGCUCAUGGAGGGAAGCGAUGA